RNAcentral lists this ribosomal RNA (253 nucleotides) under uncultured bacterium. Its description in RNAcentral is "partial 16S ribosomal RNA". It matches the Rfam family "Bacterial small subunit ribosomal RNA", at positions 524 to 776 of the family's 1533-position model. The record is from RNAcentral.
UACGUAGGGGGCUAGCGUUGUUCGGAAUUACUGGGCGUAAAGCGCACGUAGGCGGCUUUGUAAGUUAGAGGUGAAAGCCCAGGGCUUAACCCUGGAAUUGCCUUUAAGACUGCAUCGCUAGAAUCGUGGAGAGGUGAGUGGAAUUCCGAGUGUAGAGGUGAAAUUCGUAGAUAUUCGGAAGAACACCAGUGGCGAAGGCGACUCACUGGACACGGAUUGACGCUGAGACGCGAAAGCGUGGGGAGCGAACAGG